RNAcentral lists this ribosomal RNA (460 nucleotides) under uncultured bacterium. RNAcentral describes it as "partial 16S ribosomal RNA". It matches the Rfam family "Bacterial small subunit ribosomal RNA", at positions 338 to 795 of the family's 1533-position model. The record is from RNAcentral.
CCUACGGGGGGCUGCAGUGAGGAAUAUUGGUCAAUGGACGAGAGUCUGAACCAGCCAAGUAGCGUGAAGGAUGACUGCCCUAUGGGUUGUAAACUUCUUUUAUAUGGGAAUAAAAUGUUCCACGUGUGGGAUUUUGUAUGUACCAUAUGAAUAAGGAUCGGCUAACUCCGUGCCAGCAGCCGCGGUAAUACGGAGGAUCCGAGCGUUAUCCGGAUUGAUUGGGUUUAAAGGGAGCGUAGGUGGAUUGUUAAGUCAGUUGUGAAAGUUUGCGGCUCAACCGUAAAAUUGCAGUUGAAACUGGCAGUCUUGAGUACAGUAGAGGUUGGCGGAAUUCGUGGUGUAGCGGUGAAAUGCUUAGAUAUCACGAAGAACUCCGAUUGCGAAGGCAGCUCACUGGACUGCAACUGACACUGAGGCUCGAAAGUGUGGGUAUCAAACAGGAUUAGAUACCCUUGUAGUC